Molecule: transfer RNA, 75 nt
Filed under: Candidatus Peregrinibacteria bacterium CG1_02_41_10
Lineage: Bacteria; Candidatus Peregrinibacteriota
Description: tRNA-Thr
Rfam family: tRNA
About the family: Transfer RNA (tRNA) molecules are approximately 80 nucleotides in length. Their secondary structure includes four short double-helical elements and three loops (D, anti-codon, and T loops).
Source: RNAcentral
GCCACCUUAGCUCAGUGGUAGAGCAUCCGCCUUGUAAGCGGAGGGUCGUCGGUUCAAUCCCGACAGGUGGCUCCA